Non-coding RNA from Mycena rosella, 90 nucleotides. The record is from the annotation of a GenBank genome assembly. Lineage: Eukaryota; Fungi; Basidiomycota; Agaricomycetes; Agaricales; Mycenaceae.
GCCGCCGUGGACCGUGGUGGAUCGUCCUUGCCUUGUCAAGCACUGCUAGAAGUCUGGAGAAAGGCGUGGGUUCAACUCCCACCGGCGGCA